Molecule: long non-coding RNA, 1352 nt
Filed under: Pongo abelii (Sumatran orangutan)
Lineage: Eukaryota; Metazoa; Chordata; Mammalia; Primates; Hominidae
Description: lincRNA
Source: RNAcentral
GUGGCUUUGCACCGCUCUGUGAGCCUCCCGGAGCGCCGGCGGCGCCCCCCAGCCCGACCCGGGGCCCACCGCCUGCCCGGCCCCCUGCCACUGCCAGGAGGAUGGCAUCGUGCUGUCUGCCGACUGCUCUGAGUUCCGGCUGUCCGCGCCGUACCAGGGGACCUGGACCUCCUGACGGCUUACCUAUUCUAUAUCAGCAGUGGCGAACCUUUACAGGAUUAUGAAUACCAAAUGCCACUGGUCUCCUGAAGAUACAGCAGCAAAAUGAGACAUCCACAAAUAUGACUUAAAUCGAGAAUAUGUGCAUGUAUAUAACUUCCACCCUUUAUGGUGCUGCUAUUGUUCUCUGAACCACUCCUAUUUCAUCACUAUUAUUGUCAACCUGAAGAACAAGCAGAAAGAGGCUCUCUGAAAUGAAAUGGAUGCUUAUUUGGGAAAAGAGCAUUGCAAUGGGAAUACACAUGCCAUCGUAAAUGAUGAGAAUAUUCAGGGAGGACCCCAUCACAUUUGGCUGCCAUAUCUCCUUGGACUCCUCUUGGCUGUGACAGGGUCUCAGACAGCCCUUGCCGUUGAUGACCUUGAUGGUUUGAGGAGCCCUGGUCAGAUGCAUUGCAGGAUGCUCUUCAGUUGGGAUUUGUCUGAGGUUUUCCUCAUAAAUAGCCUGGGUUUAUGGGUUUUGGGAGGAAGACCACACAGGUAAAUGUCAUUCUCAUCAUGUCAUAACAAGGGUACACAAACUGCUGACAUGACUCUUCACUGACAGUGGUGGCCGUGGUCGGCUGGCCGAGGUCUCCCCACUGUGAAGUCCCCUCUUCAUGCUGUCCUCUCUGGAAGGACGUCACCAUGCACAGCCCACACUUAGGGGUAUGGGUUGUGCUCCACUUCCAAGGAGAAGUAGCUACAUGAGUGACUGGGAAAUGUCCUGGGGGGGAUACUCAUCCAUGCCUCCACAUUACUUAUGUACUCAUUCUUUUAUUUAUAUUGCUGGGGACACAUGGAUAUUCAGCCCAUGCUCAGGCUGGACUCCAGUGUGACUUUGCUGCUUCUCCUGCUCAACUUCUUUGAGGUUGGCCUUGGUGAGCUCCGUGGCAGGUUCCCGGCUACGGUGUGCCUCUGAUAGGUGCUCAUCACUUGGCUUUUUGGGCAUUUCCUUAAUUUCUGCUACUAAAGAUGCUCCAGGCUCAUCUUCUGCGUGUUCCGCCUUUGCCUUUGAAUCAGUAAAUUCUCCAAGAAGCCCUGGCUCCUUUACUAGAACGGUGUUAGAAACCAAGAUCAGGCACUGGUGUGUUCAUUGCUAGUGAGGUGUUGUUGCUUCUAGACUCUCUCAGCUGAUAGAGCAAGGGAGUGUUUAA